Non-coding RNA from Suncus etruscus (white-toothed pygmy shrew), 81 nucleotides. RefSeq annotates it as small Cajal body-specific RNA 18. Lineage: Eukaryota; Metazoa; Chordata; Mammalia; Eulipotyphla; Soricidae. The record is from RefSeq and is a predicted model, not a curated record. The transcript has a single exon.
UGGUCGAUGAUGACUAGACCACUGCGCAAUCUGAGUUCUCGGGAAACCCGCUGAUGGAGCUCUGAGAACGGACUGAGACCG